UUUGUCCUACGGGAGGCAGCAGUAGGGAAUUUUCGUCAAUGGGCGCAAGCCUGAACGAGCAAUGCCGCGUGAACGAGGAAGGUCUUCGGAUCGUAAAGUUCUGUUGAAGGGGAAAAAGAGCGGAGAGAGGAAAUGGUCUCCGAUUGAUAUUACCCUUCGAGGAAGUCACGGCUAACUACGUGCCAGCAGCCGCGGUAAUACGUAGGUGGCGAGCGUUAUCCGGAAUGAUUGGGCGUAAAGGGCGCGUAGGCGGCUUGCUAAGUCUGAUGUGAAAGGUACCGGCUCAACCGGUACACGCUCUGCAA
Molecule: ribosomal RNA, 305 nt
Filed under: uncultured bacterium
Lineage: Bacteria
Description: bacterial SSU rRNA
Rfam family: Bacterial small subunit ribosomal RNA
Source: RNAcentral